Pieris napi is the source of this 749-nucleotide long non-coding RNA. RefSeq lists it as uncharacterized. The transcript is spliced from 5 exons. The record is from RefSeq and is a predicted model, not a curated record. NCBI's taxonomy places the organism in Eukaryota, Metazoa, Arthropoda, Insecta, Lepidoptera, Pieridae.
AUAUUAUUUACUUUAAAUGUACCUGAAGUAAAAUAUUAAAUGUUUGAUGAGAAAAUAUAACUUUUGUAUUUGCUUGUACUUGUCGAUCUAAAGUUGGGCGCCGCCCGCCCACCACUCUGAAUAUAAACCGUUGGGCGGAAAGUGUUGAGUUCAGUCUGUGAGGUGACUGCGUUACAUCUACUUAGCAGAGUUCACUGAUCAGAACAAUGAAGUCUACAUUUCUCCUCCUGUUUGUUUCGGUUUCGUCCGCACUCGUGCUUUAUGACAGCGGAGAGGAAUCACUAUUGAAAACUGAGUUGAUGGAUACCGGAUUUCCGGCCAAUACUAACUACAUGAAAUCUGAUGAGCAGCCGUGGGCAGAUAAACGUCUCUUCUAUGGGCUAUUAAAAUUCCACAAGAAUAACACAACUGAGCAGGACUUAAAUACGAAGAACGCCCCAGAAACAAAGGCUGUCAAAAGUGGCGAGAUAAAAAGAUCGAAAAGUAAUAAGGUAACGAAUAACAGUUACUCCGCGAGGAAAUGGUACUUGAAGAAAGGCAAAGGAAUUCCUACACUGUGUUAUUUCAAAAUUUGCUCCUUCAAAACCAUACAGUGGUAGAAGAUAUUCGAGCCCGAACCAUGUACCGCUAAAACAAAUGGAAAUCUUGUAAAAUAACUACAAAGCUGCUGAAAUAAACUGGAUCUGAGAUUUUACGCCUUUUAAUGCUCAUUAAGUUUAUGGAUGAUGUUGUAAAAAAAUAAAAAGGUA